AGAGUUUGAUCAUGGCUCAGAUUGAACGCUGGCGGCAUGCUUUACACAUGCAAGUCGAACGGCAGCGCGGGGCAACCUGGCGGCGAGUGGCGAACGGGUGAGUAAUACAUCGGAACGUACCCAGAAGUGGGGGAUAACGUAGCGAAAGUUACGCUAAUACCGCAUACGUUCUACGGAAGAAAGUGGGGGAUCUUCGGACCUCAUGCUUUUGGAGCGGCCGAUGUCUGAUUAGCUAGUUGGUGAGGUAAAGGCUCACCAAGGCGACGAUCAGUAGCUGGUCUGAGAGGACGACCAGCCACACUGGGACUGAGACACGGCCCAGACUCCUACGGGAGGCAGCAGUGGGGAAUUUUGGACAAUGGGCGCAAGCCUGAUCCAGCAAUGCCGCGUGAGUGAAGAAGGCCUUCGGGUUGUAAAGCUCUUUUGUCAGGGAAGAAACGGCUCGGGCUAAUAUCCUGGGCUAAUGACGGUACCUGAAGAAUAAGCACCGGCUAACUACGUGCCAGCAGCCGCGGUAAUUC
This 521-nucleotide ribosomal RNA is filed under the name uncultured bacterium. RNAcentral describes it as "bacterial SSU rRNA". It matches the Rfam family "Bacterial small subunit ribosomal RNA", at positions 8 to 526 of the family's 1533-position model. The record is from RNAcentral.